CGGUGUUUAACUGGCGUGAUGUGGGACGUCCUACCGGUGGGCUUAGCCUCGCGAGGGGCGGCCCAACUAAUAUCCCGUCGCGGUGCUCUUUACUGAGUGUCGAGUCGGGCCGGUACGUUUACUUUGAACAAAUUAGAGUGCUUAAAGCAGGCUAUCCUCGCCUGAAUACUGCGUGCAUGGAAUAAUGGAAUAGGACCUCGGUUCUAUUUUGUUGGUUUUCGGAACCCCGAGGUAAUGAUUAAUAGGGACAGAUGGGGGCAUUCGUAUUGCGACGUUAGAGGUGAAAUUCUUGGAUCGUCGCAAGACGGACAGAAGCGAAAGCAUUUGCCAAAAAUGUUUUCAUUAAUCAAGAACGAAAGUUAGAGGUUCGAAGGCGAUCAGAUACCGCCCUAGUUCUAACCAUAAACGAUGCCAGCUAGCGAUCCGCCGAAGUUCCUCCGAUGACUCGGCGGGCAGCUUCCGGGAAACCAAAGCUUUUGGGUUCCGGGGGAAGUAUGGUUGCAAAGCUGAAACUUAAAGGAAUUGACGGAAGGGCACCACCAGAGUGGAGCCUGCGGCUUAAUUUGACUCAACACGGGAAACCUCACCAGCCCAGACACCGGAAGGAUUGACAGAUUGAUAGCUCUUUUCUGAUUCGUGGGUGGUGGUGCAUGGGCCGUUCUUAGUGGUGAGCGAUUUGUCUGGUUAAUCCGAUACGAACGAAGACUCUAGCCCUGCUAAAUAGGCGUACCUUAUGGUAUCGCGAAGGCCCCCGGCUUCGGCCGGUGGGUUUUUACUACCAACGUACAAACAAAUCUUCUUAGAGGGACAGGCGG
This 815-nucleotide ribosomal RNA is filed under the name uncultured eukaryote. Its description in RNAcentral is "SSU rRNA". It matches the Rfam family "Eukaryotic small subunit ribosomal RNA", at positions 629 to 1426 of the family's 1831-position model. The record is from RNAcentral.